RNAcentral lists this ribosomal RNA (536 nucleotides) under Mycolicibacterium pyrenivorans. RNAcentral describes it as "bacterial SSU rRNA". It matches the Rfam family "Bacterial small subunit ribosomal RNA", at positions 52 to 602 of the family's 1533-position model. Lineage: Bacteria; Bacillati; Actinomycetota; Actinomycetes; Mycobacteriales; Mycobacteriaceae. The record is from RNAcentral.
CACAUGCAAGUCGAACGGAAAGGCCCUUUCGGGGGUACUCGAGUGGCGAACGGGUGAGUAACACGUGGGUGAUCUGCCCUGCACUUUGGGAUAAGCCUGGGAAACUGGGUCUAAUACCGAAUACACCUCAUGGGAUGCAUGUUUUGUGGGGGAAAGCUUUUGCGGUGUGGGAUGGGCCCGCGGCCUAUCAGCUUGUUGGUGAGGUUACGGCUCACCAAGGCGACGACGGGUAGCCGGCCUGAGAGGGUGUCCGGCCACACUGGGACUGAGAUACGGCCCAGACUCCUACGGGAGGCAGCAGUGGGGAAUAUUGCACAAUGGGCGCAAGCCUGAUGCAGCGACGCCGCGUGAGGGAUGACGGCCUUCGGGUUGUAAACCUCUUUCGCCAGGGACGAAGCGCGAGUGACGGUACCUGGAGAAGAAGCACCGGCCAACUACGUGCCAGCAGCCGCGGUAAUACGUAGGGUGCGAGCGUUGUCCGGAAUUACUGGGCGUAAAGAGCUCGUAGGUGGUUUGUCGCGUUGUUCGUGAAAUCU